UACGUAGGACCCGAGCGUUGUCCGGAAUUACUGGGUGUAAAGGGUGCGUAGGCGGAUAGGUGCGUCAGAGGUGAAAUCUCCGAGCUUAACUUGGAGUGUGCCUUUGAAACGGCUUGUCUUGAGUGCGAGAGAGGAUGAUAGAAUUCCUGGUGUAGCGGUGAAAUGCGUAGAUAUCAGGAGGAAUACCAGUGGCGAAGGCGGUCAUCUGGCUCGUAACUGACGCUGAGGCACGAAAGCGUGGGGAUCAAACAGG
Molecule: ribosomal RNA, 253 nt
Filed under: uncultured bacterium
Lineage: Bacteria
Description: partial 16S ribosomal RNA
Rfam family: Bacterial small subunit ribosomal RNA
Source: RNAcentral